AGCAGCCGCGGUAAUUCCAGCUCCAAUAGCGUAUAUUAAAGUUGUUGCAGUUAAAAAGCUCGUAGUUGAAUUUCGGGACUAAUAUGUCGGUCGUGCCUCGGUACGCACUGGCUUAUUGGUUUCUCCUUUCUGAAGAACCAUGAUGUCAUUUAUUUGGUGUCGUGGGGAAUCAGGACUGUUACUUUGAAAAAUUAGAGUGUUUAAAGCAGGCUCACGCUUGAAUACAUUAGCAUGGAAUAAUGAAAUAGGACGUUUGAUUCUAUUUUGUUGGUUUCUAGGAUCGACGUAAUGAUUAAUAGGGAUAGUUGGGGGCAUUAGUAUUCAAUUGUCAGAGGUGAAAUUCUUGGAUUUAUUGAAGACUAACUACUGCGAAAGCAUUUGCCAAGGAUGUUUUCAUUAAUCAAGAACGAAAGUUAGGGGAUCGAAGACGAUCAGAUACCGUCGUAGUCU
Molecule: ribosomal RNA, 450 nt
Filed under: uncultured Glomus
Lineage: Eukaryota; Fungi; Glomeromycota; Glomeromycetes; Glomerales; Glomeraceae
Description: SSU rRNA
Rfam family: Eukaryotic small subunit ribosomal RNA
Source: RNAcentral